Long non-coding RNA from Populus trichocarpa (black cottonwood), 1159 nucleotides. RefSeq lists it as uncharacterized. NCBI's taxonomy places the organism in Eukaryota, Viridiplantae, Streptophyta, Magnoliopsida, Malpighiales, Salicaceae. The transcript has 2 exons. The record is from RefSeq and is a predicted model, not a curated record.
UGCUUUUGAAGGCUCUUUGCAGUAUAGAUUUUGCUAAAUGAUUUCUCAAACACAGGGUCAUUUAUGCUUCUCAACCCGUCCUCGUAAAAGUUGUCUCCAGUAGAAACAACGAAAUCAAUGCUCAACUCUUCUCCUAUUCUUCCCAUCUGUUGCUCGAAACGCUGAAGCUCAGCUAAGGCACAAAGAACAUACACAUGGAAGCAGGCCAUCCAUACGACGUGCAUUGAACUGAAAUGGUGACUGAAACUAGCCAUGAUAUCCCGAAAAAGAGAACUUUUUAGUUAGCAGCUUUGGUUUGGAGUGCAAAAGAUGUGAACUCAGGUAACCUCUUUGAAGAGCAUAUAAUGUGGUACCUGGACACAAAAAUGGUGGUGUCUCUAAAGAUGUUCAAAGUCGAAAAAACCACCCGUUAGCUAGCUACAGAUAGUAUCCAUGCAGAUUCAGGAUAAGAGAUUCAAUGAGGGCAAAGGAAACUUCAUUCUAUUAAUGGGCUAAAUUCAUCCGUGGUCACCAUCGAAGUCCACUUUCCUGGAAAUUUCUUGUUUUGUCUUGUUCAAUACCAGAAGAGACGUAAACCUAUGAAAGAAAAUCAUUGAUGAGCAAGAGAAUUCAAGGAACGAAGAUGGGUUGAAGGUGGUGGUGCUAUAUUGGCGCUUGCUUGAUGUCACAAGGCUGCUGUCCUUUUGCCCUGACCCUGACAAUCCAUACUAAAAAGUUGGCUCUGCAAGUCUAUCACCAUUGGGUAAAUAAACCUCGCCAAUUGCUCACAUUGGCUGUAGAAUUAUUUGCCAUUCACCAAUCUCAUCCUUUGACUCUACCGUUAGUUACAAUUAAAUUGCAUGUAGUUAUCAGGAAAUUGGAUUAGUUCUUGUGUUGAAGCACUGAUUUACCAACUUUUUGGGUGCAAUAUUACUGCAAGGCCCAUUUUUCCUUUCCUUUUUUUAUUUUUGUUUAAUAAAAAAUUCAGUGGGGUUUGGUAAUAGUAAAAGCAAGGGAAUCCCAUGAAGAUUGCUAGAAGCUCUCCAUCAAUUUAAUCAUUUUCAUGACAUUAUAGAACUCUAUUUUUUUUUUCUUUUUUGAUGUGGCCCCAACUCUCUAUUAUCACAGUGCUCAAUGACAAUGAAACAUGAGCUCAAUAAUGAUAGGAAAAAAAUAAAAA